Molecule: ribosomal RNA, 136 nt
Filed under: uncultured bacterium
Lineage: Bacteria
Description: partial 16S ribosomal RNA
Rfam family: Bacterial small subunit ribosomal RNA
Source: RNAcentral
UAAGGAAUAUUGCGCAAUGGGCGAAAGCCUGACGCAGCAACGCCGCGUGGAGGAAGAAGGCUUUCGGGUCGUAAACUCCUUUUGCUUCUGACGAGGAAGGACGGUAGGAAGCGAAUAAGUCACGGCUAACUACGUG